GACGAACGCUGGCGGCGUGCUUAACACAUGCAAGUCGAACGAUGAAGAAGAGAAACGCGAACUUCGGUUCAAAUUUCACUUCGGAUUAGUGGCAGACGGGUGAGUAACGCGUGAGCAACCUACCUCUUACAAAGGGAUAGCCUCGGGAAACCGUGAUUAAUACCAUAUGACGCAUUCAUAAGGCAUCUUAAGAAUGUUAAAGCUACGGCGGUAAGAGAUGGGCUCGCGUCCCAUUAGCUAGUUGGUGAGGUAACGGCCCACCAAGGCGACGAUGGGUAACCGGCCUGAGAGGGUGAACGGUCACAUUGGAACUGAGACACGGUCCAAACUCCUACGGGAGGCAGCAGUGGGGAAUAUUGCACAAUGGAGGGAACUCUGAUGCAGCGACGCCGCGUGAGCGAUGAAGGAAUUCGUUUCGUAAAGCUCUGUUCUAUGGGAAGAAAAGGACUGUACCAUAGGAGAAAGCCCCGGCUAAAUACGUG
RNAcentral lists this ribosomal RNA (482 nucleotides) under uncultured bacterium. RNAcentral's name for it is "partial 16S ribosomal RNA". It matches the Rfam family "Bacterial small subunit ribosomal RNA", at positions 28 to 507 of the family's 1533-position model. The record is from RNAcentral.